RNAcentral lists this ribosomal RNA (274 nucleotides) under uncultured bacterium. RNAcentral describes it as "partial 16S ribosomal RNA". It matches the Rfam family "Bacterial small subunit ribosomal RNA", at positions 523 to 796 of the family's 1533-position model. The record is from RNAcentral.
AGACGAACCGUCCAAACGUUAUUCGGAAUCACUGGGCUUAAAGGGUGCGUAGGCGGCACGGCAAGUUGGGUGUGAAAGCCCUCGGCUCAACCGAGGAAUUGCGCCCAAAACUGCCGCGCUCGAGGGAGACAGAGGUGAGCGGAACUUAGGGUGGAGCGGUGGAAUGCGUUGAUAUCCUAAGGAACACCGGUGGCGAAAGCGGCUCACUGGGUCUCUUCUGACGCUGAGGCACGAAAGCUAGGGGAGCGAACGGGAUUAGAAACCCCAGUAGUCC